RNAcentral lists this ribosomal RNA (497 nucleotides) under uncultured bacterium. Its description in RNAcentral is "partial 16S ribosomal RNA". It matches the Rfam family "Bacterial small subunit ribosomal RNA", at positions 28 to 507 of the family's 1533-position model. The record is from RNAcentral.
GAUGAACGCUGGCGGCGUGCCUAAUACAUGCAAGUCGAGCGAACGGACGAGAAGCUUGCUUCUCUGAUGUUAGCGGCGGACGGGUGAGUAACACGUGGAUAACCUACCUAUAAGACUGGGAUAACUUCGGGAAACCGUAGCUAAUACCGGAUAAUAUUUUGAACCGCAUGGUUCAAAAGUGAAAGACGGUCUUGCUGUCACUUAUAGAUGGAUCCGCGCUGCAUUAGCUAGUUGGUAAGGUAACGGCUUACCAAGGCAACGAUGCAUAGCCGACCUGAGAGGGUGAUCGGCCACACUGGAACUGAGACACGGUCCAGACUCCUACGGGAGGCAGCAGUAGGGAAUCUUACGCAAUGGGCGAAAGCCUGACGGAGCAACGCCGCGUGAGUGAUGAAGGUCUUCGGAUCGUAAAACCCUGUUAUUAGGGAAGAACAUAUGUGUAAGUAACUGUGCACAUCUUGACGGUACCUAAUCAGAAAGCCACGGCUAACUACGUG